RNAcentral lists this ribosomal RNA (422 nucleotides) under uncultured bacterium. RNAcentral's name for it is "bacterial SSU rRNA". It matches the Rfam family "Bacterial small subunit ribosomal RNA", at positions 355 to 774 of the family's 1533-position model. The record is from RNAcentral.
UUUCGAAUCAUACACAAUGAGGGAAACCCUGAUGGUGCGACGCCGCGUGGAGGAUGAAGGUCUUCGGAUUGUAAACUCCUGUCAAGGGGGACUAACCAUACGGCUCAUACCCGUAUCUGCAUUAACCCCUAGAGGAAGCAGUGGCUAACUCUGUGCCAGCAGCCGCGGUAAUACAGAGACUGCAAGCGUUACUCGGAUUCACUGGGCGUAAAGGGAGCGCAGGCGGAAUCGUGUGUCGGAUGUGAAAGACCAGGGCUUAACUCUGGGGUUGCAUACGAAACUGGGUAACUAGAGUGCAGGAGAGGAAAGUGGAAUUCCUAGUGUAGCGGUGAAAUGCGUAGAUAUUAGGAGGAACACCAGUGGCGAAGGCGGCUUCCUGGACUGUAACUGACGCUGAGGUGCGAAAGCCAGGGGAGCGAACG